Molecule: ribosomal RNA, 420 nt
Filed under: uncultured bacterium
Lineage: Bacteria
Description: bacterial SSU rRNA
Rfam family: Bacterial small subunit ribosomal RNA
Source: RNAcentral
UAAGGAAUAUUGGUCAAUGGACGCAAGUCUGAACCAGCCAUGCCGCGUGAAGGAUGAAGGUCCUCUGGAUUGUAAACUUCUUUUAUCUGGGACGAAAACGGGAUUUUUAUCUCAAUUGACGGUACCAGAGGAAUAAGCACCGGCUAACUCCGUGCCAGCAGCCGCGGUAAUACGGAGGGUGCGAGCGUUAUCCGGAUUUACUGGGUUUAAAGGGUGCGUAGGUGGGCUUAUAAGUCAGUGGUGAAAUCUCCGAGCUUAACUUGGAAACUGCCGUUGAUACUAUAGGUCUUGAAUUAUCUGGAGGUAAGCGGAAUAUGUCAUGUAGCGGUGAAAUGCUUAGAUAUGACAUAGAACACAAAUUGCGAAGGCAGCUUACUACAUAUAAAUUGACGCUGAGGCACGAAAGCGUGGGGAUCAAAC